Molecule: ribosomal RNA, 231 nt
Filed under: uncultured bacterium
Lineage: Bacteria
Description: partial 16S ribosomal RNA
Rfam family: Bacterial small subunit ribosomal RNA
Source: RNAcentral
ACUCCUACGGGAGGCAGCAGUAGGGAAUUUUCCGCAAUGGACGAAAGUCUGACGGAGCAAUGCCGCGUGAGUGAUGAAGGUUUUUCGAAUCGUAAAGCUCUGUUGUAAGGGAAAGAAUAGCAAGAAUAGGGAAAUGAUUCUUGUCUGACGGUACCUUACCAGAAAGCCACGGCUAACUACGUGCCAGCAGCCGCGGUAAUACGUAGGUGGCAAGCGUUAUCCGGAAUUAUU